Non-coding RNA from Arachis ipaensis, 415 nucleotides. The record is from RefSeq and is a predicted model, not a curated record. Lineage: Eukaryota; Viridiplantae; Streptophyta; Magnoliopsida; Fabales; Fabaceae.
AUAAUUUUCCUAUUAUUAGGUCCUGAUCAACACAAUGUAGUAAAUGCUAUAUUUUGUUCAUGGAUGGCAGUUGGCAAUAUCCUGGGAUAUUCUGCUGGUGCUAGUGGAAAGUGGAACAGAUAGUUCCCUUUCCUGACAAAUAGAGCUUACUGUGAGGCCUGUGGCAAUCUUAAGGCCGCAUUUCUUGUUGCAGUGGUGGGUUACUAUCUGAUAUCAUUUUAUAUAUUGUUAGGUCAUAUAAAAUAUGUAAAUUUAAUUGAUCUAAGUUGUUCAUUUCAUACCAAUUUGAUUGAUGUAAUUUGUUUAAAUUUUUGUUCAUUCCAUACUAAUUACCAAUUUCUUUAAAGUUAAAUAAUCUUUAGCUUGAUUGAUGUAAUUUUUUCAAUCAAUAAUAGUAGUUUAUAGCUUUCAAAUA